CAGCCGCCGCGGUAAUACGUAGGGUGCAAGCGUCAAUCGGAAUUACUGGGCGUAAAGCGUGCGCAGGCGGUCCGCUAAGACAGAUGUGAAAUCCCCGGGCUUAACCUGGGAACUGCAUUUGUGACUGGCGGGCUAGAGUAUGGCAGAGGGGGGUAGAAUUCCACGUGUAGCAGUGAAAUGCGUAGAGAUGUGGAGGAAUACCGAUGGCGAAGGCAGCCCCCUGGGCCAAUACUGACGCUCAUGCACGAAAGCGUGGGGAGCAAACAGGAUUAGAUACCCCUGUAGUCCCUGUCUCUUAUAA
Molecule: ribosomal RNA, 301 nt
Filed under: uncultured bacterium
Lineage: Bacteria
Description: partial 16S ribosomal RNA
Rfam family: Bacterial small subunit ribosomal RNA
Source: RNAcentral